RNAcentral lists this ribosomal RNA (483 nucleotides) under uncultured bacterium. Its description in RNAcentral is "partial 16S ribosomal RNA". It matches the Rfam family "Bacterial small subunit ribosomal RNA", at positions 28 to 507 of the family's 1533-position model. The record is from RNAcentral.
AUUGAACGCUGGCGGCAUGCUUUACACAUGCAAGUCGAACGGCAGCGCGGGCUUCGGCCUGGCGGCGAGUGGCGAACGGGUGAGUAAUGCAUCGGAACGUGCCCAGUAGUGGGGGAUAGCCCGGCGAAAGCCGGAUUAAUACCGCAUACGACCUGAGGGUGAAAGCGGGGGACCGAAAGGCCUCGCGCUAUUGGAGCGGCCGAUGUCGGAUUAGCUAGUUGGUGGGGUAAAGGCUUACCAAGGCGACGAUCCGUAGCUGGUCCGAGAGGACGACCAGCCACACUGGGACUGAGACACGGCCCAGACUCCUACGGGAGGCAGCAGUGGGGAAUUUGGACAAUGGGGGCAACCCUGAUCCAGCCAUGCCGCGUGCGGGAAGAAGGCCUUCGGGUUGUAAACCGCUUUUGUUCGGGAAGAAAUCCUCUGGGCUAAUACCCCGGGGGGAUGACGGUACCGGAAGAAUAAGCACCGGCUAACUACGUG